GGUUAAGCGACUAAGCGUACACGGUGGAUGCCCUGGCAGUCAGAGGCGAUGAAGGACGUGCUAAUCUGCGAUAAGCGUCGGUAAGGUGAUAUGAACCGUUAUAACCGGCGAUUUCCGAAUGGGGAAACCCAGUGUGUUUCGACACACUAUCAUUAACUGAAUCCAUAGGUUAAUGAGGCGAACCGGGGGAACUGAAACAUCUAAGUACCCCGAGGAAAAGAAAUCAACCGAGAUUCCCCCAGUAGCGGCGAGCGAACGGGGAGCAGCCCAGAGCCUGAAUCAGUGUGUGUGUUAGUGGAAGCGUCUGGAAAGGCGCGCGAUACAGGGUGACAGCCCCGUACACAAAAAUGCACAUGCUGUGAGCUCGAUGAGUAGGGCGGGACACGUGGUAUCCUGUCUGAAUAUGGGGGGACCAUCCUCCAAGGCUAAAUACUCCUGACUGACCGAUAGUGAACCAGUACCGUGAGGGAAAGGCGAAAAGAACCCCGGCGAGGGGAGUGAAAAAGAACCUGAAACCGUGUACGUACAAGCAGUGGGAGCACGCUUAGGCGUGUGACUGCGUACCUUUUGUAUAAUGGGUCAGCGACUUAUAUUCUGUAGCAAGGUUAACCGAAUAGGGGAGCCGAAGGGAAACCGAGUCUUAACUGGGCGUUAAGUUGCAGGGUAUAGACCCGAAACCCGGUGAUCUAGCCAUGGGCAGGUUGAAGGUUGGGUAACACUAACUGGAGGACCGAACCGACUAAUGUUGAAAAAUUAGCGGAUGACUUGUGGCUGGGGGUGAAAGGCCAAUCAAACCGGGAGAUAGCUGGUUCUCCCCGAAAGCUAUUUAGGUAGCGCCUCGUGAAUUCAUCUCCGGGGGUAGAGCACUGUUUCGGCAAGGGGGUCAUCCCGACUUACCAACCCGAUGCAAACUGCGAAUACCGGAGAAUGUUAUCACGGGAGACACACGGCGGGUGCUAACGUCCGUCGUGAAGAGGGAAACAACCCAGACCGCCAGCUAAGGUCCCAAAGUCAUGGUUAAGUGGGAAACGAUGUGGGAAGGCCCAGACAGCCAGGAUGUUGGCUUAGAAGCAGCCAUCAUUUAAAGAAAGCGUAAUAGCUCACUGGUCGAGUCGGCCUGCGCGGAAGAUGUAACGGGGCUAAACCAUGCACCGAAGCUGCGGCAGCGACGCUUAUGCGUUGUUGGGUAGGGGAGCGUUCUGUAAGCCUGCGAAGGUGUGCUGUGAGGCAUGCUGGAGGUAUCAGAAGUGCGAAUGCUGACAUAAGUAACGAUAAAGCGGGUGAAAAGCCCGCUCGCCGGAAGACCAAGGGUUCCUGUCCAACGUUAAUCGGGGCAGGGUGAGUCGACCCCUAAGGCGAGGCCGAAAGGCGUAGUCGAUGGGAAACAGGUUAAUAUUCCUGUACUUGGUGUUACUGCGAAGGGGGGACGGAGAAGGCUAUGUUGGCCGGGCGACGGUUGUCCCGGUUUAAGCGUGUAGGCUGGUUUUCCAGGCAAAUCCGGAAAAUCAAGGCUGAGGCGUGAUGACGAGGCACUACGGUGCUGAAGCAACAAAUGCCCUGCUUCCAGGAAAAGCCUCUAAGCAUCAGGUAACAUCAAAUCGUACCCCAAACCGACACAGGUGGUCAGGUAGAGAAUACCAAGGCGCUUGAGAGAACUCGGGUGAAGGAACUAGGCAAAAUGGUGCCGUAACUUCGGGAGAAGGCACGCUGAUAUGUAGGUGAGGUCCCUCGCGGAUGGAGCUGAAAUCAGUCGAAGAUACCAGCUGGCUGCAACUGUUUAUUAAAAACACAGCACUGUGCAAACACGAAAGUGGACGUAUACGGUGUGACGCCUGCCCGGUGCCGGAAGGUUAAUUGAUGGGGUUAGCGCAAGCGAAGCUCUUGAUCGAAGCCCCGGUAAACGGCGGCCGUAACUAUAACGGUCCUAAGGUAGCGAAAUUCCUUGUCGGGUAAGUUCCGACCUGCACGAAUGGCGUAAUGAUGGCCAGGCUGUCUCCACCCGAGACUCAGUGAAAUUGAACUCGCUGUGAAGAUGCAGUGUACCCGCGGCAAGACGGAAAGACCCCGUGAACCUUUACUAUAGCUUGACACUGAACAUUGAGCCUUGAUGUGUAGGAUAGGUGGGAGGCUUUGAAGUGUGGACGCCAGUCUGCAUGGAGCCGACCUUGAAAUACCACCCUUUAAUGUUUGAUGUUCUAACGUUGACCCGUAAUCCGGGUUGCGGACAGUGUCUGGUGGGUAGUUUGACUGGGGCGGUCUCCUCCUAAAGAGUAACGGAGGAGCACGAAGGUUGGCUAAUCCUGGUCGGACAUCAGGAGGUUAGUGCAAUGGCAUAAGCCAGCUUGACUGCGAGCGUGACGGCGCGAGCAGGUGCGAAAGCAGGUCAUAGUGAUCCGGUGGUUCUGAAUGGAAGGGCCAUCGCUCAACGGAUAAAAGGUACUCCGGGGAUAACAGGCUGAUACCGCCCAAGAGUUCAUAUCGACGGCGGUGUUUGGCACCUCGAUGUCGGCUCAUCACAUCCUGGGGCUGAAGUAGGUCCCAAGGGUAUGGCUGUUCGCCAUUUAAAGUGGUACGCGAGCUGGGUUUAGAACGUCGUGAGACAGUUCGGUCCCUAUCUGCCGUGGGCGCUGGAGAACUGAGGGGGGCUGCUCCUAGUACGAGAGGACCGGAGUGGACGCAUCACUGGUGUUCGGGUUGUCGGUGAUGCUGCCAACUUACUGAUUUAGUGUAUGAUGGUGUUUUUGAGGUGCUCCAGUGGCUUCUGUUUCUAUCAGCCGUCCCUCCUGUUCAGCUACUGACGGGGUGGUGCGUAACGGCAAAAGCACCGCCGGACAUCAGCGCUAUCUCUGCUCUCACUGCCGUAAAACAUGGCAACUGCAGUUCACUUACACCGCUUCUCAACCCG
Molecule: ribosomal RNA, 2905 nt
Filed under: Escherichia sp. TC-EC600-tetX4
Lineage: Bacteria; Pseudomonadati; Pseudomonadota; Gammaproteobacteria; Enterobacterales; Enterobacteriaceae
Description: 23S ribosomal RNA
Rfam family: Bacterial large subunit ribosomal RNA
Source: RNAcentral